RNAcentral lists this long non-coding RNA (343 nucleotides) under Salmo salar (Atlantic salmon). RNAcentral describes it as "lncRNA (ENSSSAG00000111967.1)". The record is from RNAcentral. Lineage: Eukaryota; Metazoa; Chordata; Actinopteri; Salmoniformes; Salmonidae.
CUCCUCUCUCUCUCUCUCUCUCUCUCUCUCGCUCUCCCAACAAACAGUCCUUCAACCCCCUCAAUACUCCUCUCUCUCUCUCUCUCUCUCUUCCAACAAACAGUCCUUCAACCCCUUCAAUACUCCUCUCUCUCUCUUCCAACAAGCAGUCCUUCAACCCCCUCAAUACUCCCUCUCUCUCUCUCUCUCUCUCUCUCUCUCUUCCAACAAGCAGUCCUUCAACCCCCUUAAUACUACUCUCUCUCUCUUUCAACAAGCAUCCUUAAAACCCCUUCAAUACUCCUCUCUCUCUCUCUCUCUUCCAACAAGCAGUCCUUCAACCCCCUCAAUACUCCCCUCUCUC